GGUGUGGCUCAACGGUAGAGCAGCUGACUUGUAAUCAGCACCUGACUUUUAAUCAGGGUGUCCCGCGUUCGAGUCGCGGAUAGAUCACCA
This 90-nucleotide transfer RNA is filed under the name Clostridioides difficile. RNAcentral's name for it is "tRNA-Thr". The stretch from base 5 to 79 matches the Rfam family "tRNA", at positions 8 to 63 of the family's 71-position model. From Rfam's summary of the family: Transfer RNA (tRNA) molecules are approximately 80 nucleotides in length. Their secondary structure includes four short double-helical elements and three loops (D, anti-codon, and T loops). Lineage: Bacteria; Bacillati; Bacillota; Clostridia; Peptostreptococcales; Peptostreptococcaceae. The record is from RNAcentral.